AGCAGCCGCGGUAAUUCCAGCUCCAAUAGCGUAUAUUAAAGUUGUUGCAGUUAAAAAGCUCGUAGUUGAAUUUCGGAAUCUGUCCGUCGGUCGGGCUUCACUGUCCGUACUGGUGUGGUGGGUUCUUACCUUCUGAAUAACCAGCAUGCCAUUAAUUUGGUGCGUUGGGGAAGCAGGACUAUUACCUUGAAAAAAUUAGAGUGCUCAAAGCAGGCCAGUGCCUGAAUACAUUAGCAUGGAAUAAUAAAAUAGGACGGCAUGGUUCUAUUUUGUUGGUUUCUAGGAUCACCGUAAUGAUUAAUAGGGAUAGUUGGGGGCAUUAGUAUUCAAUUGUCAGAGGUGAAAUUCUUGGAUUUAUUGAAGACUAACUUCUGUGAAAGCAUUUGCCAAGGAUGUUUUCAUUAAUCAAGAACGAAAGUUAGGGGAUCGAAGACGAUCAGAUACCGUCGUAGUCUUAACCAUAAACUAUGCCGACUAGGGAUCGGACGAUGUUAAUUUUUUAAUGACUCGUUCGGCGCCU
RNAcentral lists this ribosomal RNA (520 nucleotides) under uncultured Glomeromycotina. RNAcentral's name for it is "SSU rRNA". It matches the Rfam family "Eukaryotic small subunit ribosomal RNA", at positions 569 to 1088 of the family's 1831-position model. Lineage: Eukaryota; Fungi; Glomeromycota. The record is from RNAcentral.